Long non-coding RNA from Felis catus (domestic cat), 2237 nucleotides. RefSeq lists it as uncharacterized. The transcript is spliced from 2 exons. Lineage: Eukaryota; Metazoa; Chordata; Mammalia; Carnivora; Felidae. The record is from RefSeq and is a predicted model, not a curated record.
CUCUCUCUCUCUCUCUCAAAAAUAAAAAAUAAAAUGAAAAAGGAAGCAAAGCAUUACAUCAUGAGUAAAAAUCAUGAAAAGUGCUGAUUUUCAAGAAUAGCAAAUAUGCUCAUGUGACAAGCAUGAGGGGGAAAGAAGAUAAAUGGGAGAUGAAGUGGAAGAGGUAAGUUAGAGCCUGAGUGUGGAGAGUAUUAUUAUUCCCAGAUAGUUUGAUUUGAUUCCAAAAGCAGUGAGGAGAUGUUGAAGGCUUUUUGAGCAAGAUGACAUCAAUUUUAGGAUACUUACAAUAUAAAGAAUUAUUUAGAGAGAGGAAAGACAGUGAGGAGGUGGAAACUCUAUGAAUUAGCAAGUGGAUGGAAAAGGUGUAGAUUGGGAAGUCAUUUAGUUAGCAGCUAUCAGAUUUGACCCUAUCCCCCAAAUGAAUGUUCACCUCAUGUAAUAAAGUCACAAGUAGGUAAUAGACACUAGGUGUUGGGAAUACAAAGAUGAAUUAAAGGUCAUGGCACAUGAAAUAGCUUGUGUGUGUGGAAUUAUGAAAGUUUCAAAGACAGCUGAAAUUUUUAGCCUGAGUGCUGCCACUGACUUAAAUGAAGAUAUCAGAGGAAAAAUGUGGAUUUGGCAAAAAGACAACUAGUUAUGUUUUCAACCAAAUGUGCAGUACAAUUAAGGUGAUGUCCUGUGGAACCUGUAAACUCAAAAUGUGGGUCUACAACUUAAGGGGGAGAAGUAUCACUUUUGGGCUGAUAAACCAGGAAAUUGGGGCUGGCAUGUCUGGGACCAUGCUGGCCUUUUCUUUCUUUUCUUUCCCCCACUUCCUCUUUACUAGGGCGAAGAAACUGGGAGUUUGGUUAUAUACUAGAUUAACUGAGCUAAUAAAUACACUGAGAAUCAUGGAGAAAGGGAAGGCAAGAAUCAACCCUGUAGUAUUGGACUGGAAUUGGAAGUAUCAGAAUGAAUCCAUGGUACUUAAUAUACAGAGAGAGUGGGAGAAACAGAUACAGCUGUGUGUGUGUGUGUGUGUGUGUGUGUGUGUGUGUGUGUGUGUGUGUGUGUGUGUGUGUGUGAAUACAUAGUUUCUAACUCUGCUGAUAGAGCCUAGAAGCAAUGAUACUCUAGAAGCAAUGAACACACUUAGUGGGCAGAUCUUGGUUUCUAAAUUCUCUUCUUCACUAAAAGAAAUCAAACUCCUUGGAGAAAUUAUUAAUUCCGAGACUGAGCAGGGAGAAUACAAGAUGAACCUGGAACAUCAUCUUGCACCAGAAAAUAAGAAAGUGCUCAAAGAGUGAUGGGUGCAUGCCAAAAGAACCCAGGAACUAGCUUAAAGGAGUUCUUAUUUCUGGAAACAUUUGAGCAUGAAAUGAUGACAGUAAUGUUUUAUAAUGCUUUGAGUAAAAUAGUAAUCCACAAGCUCAUCCUGGCAUAAAGGAAUAAAUAAAUGGGGAAGAAGGAAAUACUCUGUUCUACAGUUGAUUUAUUGCCAAUCAAAUCCAGAGGGAAUGAUGGAAUCAGAAAAAUCUAUUUGCAAUAAUUACAGAAAUAAUUAUGUAUCUAAGAAUCCUUGAAGGGUGCUAAAUAUGGUGGGUGAAAACUUGAUGGCAAAUAGAAAUAUUCACAUAGUCUUAAAGAAUCUCCCUAUUAGAUAGUUAUUAUGAAGUAUAAUAUACCUAUUUGUUUACCUAAUCCUCAAGAAAUCUGGCAGAAAGUAUCUUAACCAAGAGAUUAAAAUUAGAGUCAUCAGUAAUGAGACAAAUCACCAAUGUAUGUUUCUUACUAUGCACCAAGAAAAGCACAACAUUCCUUAGGUGGUAUAUUACUGUCUGACUCGCUCAGUGUUACUCUAUUUCAUUUUAGAUCAACAAAAGACAUACAAAUUCAGAUUAGACAAUUUGAGAGAAACCGUAUAUCAAAACCUCUUGAAAACAUUCUACCUGGCAGCCAAAACUUGUCUGGACAAACCUAUUUUUCUUCCUGGUGCGGCAAAAAAAAAAAAAAAAAAAGGCUACUCUUUGACACAGUUCUGAGGUCUGAUCAUCUGCAGGUGUCCGAGGUCAUAUCUAAGUUUGUUCCAGCCAUCCAGAAUACUCUACAAUGCCCCUGGCUCUGGAAGAGGAAAGGGACUGACAGUGUUAACUGAAUCCAUUUUGAAUGAGACAUACAUCAUGCCAAUGUCAUUCACUGGAAACUGUAACCAGCUUGGUUGGCUAGUCCCUUGCCCAUGGAAUAUUGGUUUUUCAGAC